Molecule: non-coding RNA, 24 nt
Filed under: Arabidopsis thaliana (thale cress)
Lineage: Eukaryota; Viridiplantae; Streptophyta; Magnoliopsida; Brassicales; Brassicaceae
Source: RNAcentral
AGUCUCUUGUACACUUGUAGGACG